CAAAGGGCCAUUCAUCACGCUCCAAAGUGCUGCAAAGGGCUCCCGUGUUCCACCGGAGAAGUGCCUGCGUUCGAAUCCAAGCGAGAAAGUUUUCUCCCUGUGCUUGAGGCCACUCCAGAGAGUAAUGGAGCUUGGCGCUGCUUUAGGAUCCUUUUGGAUGAGUUAUAGGGGCAAGCACCUUGUCAUGCGCCACUCGGUCUCCAGCAAAUCUGGCCCUUCUCGGCCUUGGAAAGCUGUGGAAAACUCAAGAGAGGGAAACCAACUUCUGCCUGCCGAUGAACUCCAUAAAGACCCCUUAAAUGUAGAUGACAUGGUGGAAAACAUCCCAAAACCAUGAGUCUGCAUCUGAGACACAAUGAAAGUCAUUCUAGAUACCUACAGUUCACAUGAGGCAGCAGGGAUUUCUCUCACAGACACUGUGAUCAAGGCAAGCCCAGUCCCAGGGUCGUCCCUGCUUACCGGACCUCAUGCCUAGACGUCUUUUUGGCCACAGGACACUCUCAGAUCCCAAGGACUGCAGAAAGGGGCUGGGGAAGAGCUUCCUCAUCAGGAGCGCCGUGACAGGUAGGUCUGAACGACAAUCUCGGUGGCUUUGGGAUCUCUGCAGGCUUCCCCUGCCCAGCUUGGACAGGUGUGGGUCAUAGAAUCAUAGAAUCAUAGAGUUGUCCAGGCCAGAAGGGACCUCCAAAGGUCAUCUAGUCCGACCUCCCCGCAGUCAGCAGGGACACCCCCAA
This is a long non-coding RNA of Calidris pugnax (ruff), 734 nucleotides long. RefSeq lists it as uncharacterized. NCBI's taxonomy places the organism in Eukaryota, Metazoa, Chordata, Aves, Charadriiformes, Scolopacidae. The record is from RefSeq and is a predicted model, not a curated record. The transcript is spliced from 3 exons.